This 327-nucleotide ribosomal RNA is filed under the name uncultured eukaryote. Its description in RNAcentral is "partial 18S ribosomal RNA". It matches the Rfam family "Eukaryotic small subunit ribosomal RNA", at positions 1470 to 1796 of the family's 1831-position model. The record is from RNAcentral.
CCCUUAGAUGUUCUGGGCCGCACGCGCGCUACACUGACGAAUGCAACGAGCUUAUAACCUUGGCCGAAAGGUCUGGGUAAUCUCCAAAUUUCGUCGUGAUGGGGAUAGAUUAUUGCAAUUAUUAAUCUUCAACGAGGAAUGCCUAGUAAGCGCAAGUCAUCAGCUCGCGUUGAUUACGUCCCUGCCCUUUGUACACACCGCCCGUCGCUCCUACCGAUUGAAUGGUCCGGUGAAGCGUUCGGACCGUGGCCUUUGGACGGUUCGCCGUCUGUUGGCUGCGGGAAGUUCGUUAAACCUUAUCAUUUAGAGGAAGGAGAAGUCGUANCA